This 253-nucleotide ribosomal RNA is filed under the name uncultured bacterium. RNAcentral's name for it is "partial 16S ribosomal RNA". It matches the Rfam family "Bacterial small subunit ribosomal RNA", at positions 524 to 776 of the family's 1533-position model. The record is from RNAcentral.
UACGGAGGGGGCAAGCGUUAUUCGGAAUUAUUGGGCGUAAAGGGCGCGUAGGCGGCUAGAUGUGUCAAAGGUGAAAUCCCUCGGCUCAACUGAGGAACUGCCUUUGAAACUGUCUGGCUUGAGGCCGGGAGAGGGUAGCGGAAUUCCCAGUGUAGCGGUGAAAUGCGUAGAUAUUGGGAGGAACACCGGUGGCGAAGGCGGCCAUCUGGACCGCAACUGACGCUGAGGCGCGAAAGCGUGGGGAGCAAACGGG